This is a non-coding RNA of Mus caroli (Ryukyu mouse), 468 nucleotides long. Lineage: Eukaryota; Metazoa; Chordata; Mammalia; Rodentia; Muridae. The record is from RefSeq and is a predicted model, not a curated record.
GACACAGGUGGACAGCUCUGCUUGAGCCCAUCACAUCCAGUGUGAGUGAAGUGACAGUUCUAUUGCAACCAGCUUGCCCCAGAAAGAAAGCAUCUCAUGGAGUGGUGCCUCUGGAUGAAGAGAUGGACAUAUGCUCUGAACUGUAUUCUGGACUGCCGCUGACCAUCAGAGAGAGGGAGAGAGGGGUCCACUGUGAUCUGAUUUUACACAAGAGGAGAAACCCCAAUAGCACCACUCAGAGAGCAGGCUCUGCUAUACCAGGAGCGGUGGCUCACUCAAGAACUUACCAUAAAAGUGAUCAAAUCUCUCCUGCCUCAGACAGGGCAGCUACAGUGAAUCCAGCUCCCACCUAGGAAGAGGACUGUGGCGCCGUGCAUCGACUCUUCAUCAAAUAUUUUAGAGGAAUCACUGAACUGUUUUUCUCAGAAGUCGAGUCACCUUACAGUCCCACCAGUAAAAUUUCUCAAC